GCGAAAACUUUACAAUGCUGGCAACAGCGAUAAGGGAACCUCGAGUGCCAGGUUACAAAUCUGGCUGUCGAGAUGCCUAAAAAGCAUUUCAUAGCAAGGGCCGGGCAAGACCGGUGCCAGCCGCCGCGGUAACACCGGCGGCUCGCGUGGUAACCGUGAUUAUUGGGUCUAAAGGGUCCGUAGCCGGCCGGAUAAGUCUCUUGAGAAAUCUGGCAGCUUAACUGUCAGGCUUUCAGGAGAUACUGUCUGGCUCGAGGCCGGGAGAGGUGAGAGGUACUUCAGGGGUAGGGGUGAAAUCUUGUAAUCCUUGAAGGACCACUAGUGGCGAAGGCGUCUCACCAGAACGGACCUGACGGCAAGGGACGAAAGCUAGGGGCACGAACU
Molecule: ribosomal RNA, 384 nt
Filed under: uncultured prokaryote
Description: bacterial SSU rRNA
Rfam family: Archaeal small subunit ribosomal RNA
Source: RNAcentral